Anopheles coluzzii is the source of this 206-nucleotide long non-coding RNA. RefSeq lists it as uncharacterized. The transcript is spliced from 3 exons. The record is from RefSeq and is a predicted model, not a curated record. NCBI's taxonomy places the organism in Eukaryota, Metazoa, Arthropoda, Insecta, Diptera, Culicidae.
UGAUCACAUAAAUUAUUCAUCGUGCAAUAUCUGUAUUAUUACAAUCUAAUGUUCGUGGCUCAUUUUAUCAUCUGGAAAGUGGUGCCUCCUAGACUAGACCGUAUAUAUCAAACCCAAUUCGAUGAAAUUGAAUAAACGCGCCAACAAUUCCAUCCAUCCAGAUCCAGAAAAACAUUACAGAACCAACGUGAUUUAGUUUUUGAGCU